Long non-coding RNA from Vigna angularis (adzuki bean), 314 nucleotides. RefSeq lists it as uncharacterized. NCBI's taxonomy places the organism in Eukaryota, Viridiplantae, Streptophyta, Magnoliopsida, Fabales, Fabaceae. The transcript is spliced from 3 exons. The record is from RefSeq and is a predicted model, not a curated record.
AACUCCAAGUUUCUCUACUUUCUCUCUAACCUCCACACUCACUGAUUCAGUGCAUGGAGGUGGUGCCCAAGCGUCCACAGUGUAGAAGGCUUUAUUUUGAACCGAUUACUUCUUUCAUUCUGACCGGGUUUGGUUGAGUUCUUACUGAGUCAGGCACUGUUGAAUCAAGUUGUGAGCUUACCUGUGAAACCCUAAGAGUGGGUGAGGUACCCCUGGAGCAGGCCCUGGAUGGUGAUGAUGCUGCAACUUAGUUUAUUUAGGAGUUUCUAAAUUAAGUUCUAUCAUUUUAAAAUACUCUAAAGUGUUUAGUUUUA